This 483-nucleotide ribosomal RNA is filed under the name uncultured bacterium. RNAcentral's name for it is "partial 16S ribosomal RNA". It matches the Rfam family "Bacterial small subunit ribosomal RNA", at positions 28 to 523 of the family's 1533-position model. The record is from RNAcentral.
GACGAACGCUGGCGGCGUGCUUAACACAUGCAAGUCGAACGAUGAAGCCGGAGCUUGCUCCGGUGGAUUAGUGGCGAACGGGUGAGUAACACGUGAGCAAUCUGCCCUUGACUCUGGGAUAACUGCGGGAAACUGUAGCUAAUACCGGAUACGACACCUUGGGGCAUCCCAGGGUGUGGAAAGAAUUUCGGUCAAGGAUGAGCUCGCGGCCUAUCAGCUAGUUGGUGAGGUAAUGGCUCACCAAGGCGACGACGGGUAGCCGGCCUGAGGGGGGGACCGGCCAAACUGGAACCGAGACACGGUCCAGACUCCUACGGGAGGCAGCAGUGGGGAAUAUUGCACAAUGGGCGAAAGCCUGAUGCAGCAACGCCGCGUGAGGGAUGAAGGCCUUCGGGUUGUAAACCUCUUUUAGCAGGGAAGAAGCGAAAGUGACGGUACCUGCAGAAAAAGCACCGGCUAACUACGUGCCAGCCGCCGCGGUAA